This 138-nucleotide ribosomal RNA is filed under the name uncultured bacterium. RNAcentral describes it as "partial 16S ribosomal RNA". It matches the Rfam family "Bacterial small subunit ribosomal RNA", at positions 355 to 509 of the family's 1533-position model. The record is from RNAcentral.
UGGGGGAUAUUGCACAAUGGGGGAAACCCUGAUGCAGCGACGCCGCGUGGGUGAAGAAGCGCCUCGGCGACGUAAAGCCCUGUCAGCAGGGAAGAAAAUGACGGUACCUGAAGAAGAAGCCCCGGCUAACUACGUGCC